CCUACGGGUGGCAGCAGUGAGGAAUAUUGGUCAAUGGACGAGAGUCUGAACCAGCCAAGUAGCGUGAAGGAUGACUGCCCUAUGGGUUGUAAACUUCUUUUAUAUGGGAAUAAAAUGUUCCACGUGUGGGAUUUUGUAUGUACCAUAUGAAUAAGGAUCGGCUAACUCCGUGCCAGCAGCCGCGGUAAUACGGAGGAUCCGAGCGUUAUCCGGAUUUAUUGGGGUUAAAGGGGGCGUAGGUGGAUUGUUAAGUUAGUUGUGAAAGUUUGCGGCUCAACCGUAAAGUUGCAGUUGAAACUGGCAGUCUUGAGUACAGUAGAGGUGGGCGGAAUACGUGAUGUAGCGGUGAAAUGCUUAGAUAUCACGAAGAACUCCGAUUGCGAAGGCAGCUCACUGGACUGCAACUGACACUGAGGCUCGAAAGUGUGGGUAGCAAACAGGAUUAGAUACCCUUGUAGUC
This 460-nucleotide ribosomal RNA is filed under the name uncultured bacterium. Its description in RNAcentral is "partial 16S ribosomal RNA". It matches the Rfam family "Bacterial small subunit ribosomal RNA", at positions 338 to 795 of the family's 1533-position model. The record is from RNAcentral.